UGGCAGUACUGCUAGGAAGAUGCUAGGAAG
This 30-nucleotide non-coding RNA is filed under the name Rattus norvegicus (Norway rat). Lineage: Eukaryota; Metazoa; Chordata; Mammalia; Rodentia; Muridae. The record is from RNAcentral.